This 438-nucleotide ribosomal RNA is filed under the name uncultured bacterium. RNAcentral describes it as "bacterial SSU rRNA". It matches the Rfam family "Bacterial small subunit ribosomal RNA", at positions 94 to 541 of the family's 1533-position model. The record is from RNAcentral.
AGCGGCGAAAGGGAGAGUAACGCGUGGUUACGUGCCCUCGAGACCGGGACAGUGUCGGGAAACUGGCAGUAAUUCCGGAUAAUAUCUUCGGAUCAAAUGGUGUGAUUCCGCUCGAGGAUCGGACCGCGUACUAUUAGCUUGUUGGCGGGGUAACGGCCCACCAAGGCUGCGAUGGUUACCGGGUGUGAGAGCAUGGCCCGGCUCACUGGGACUGAGACACUGCCCAGACAUCUACGGAUGGCUGCAGUCGAGAAUCUUCGGCAAUGGACGAAAGUCUGACCGAGCGACGCCGCGUGCGGGAUGAAGGCCCUCGGGUUGUAAACCGCUGUCAGUUAGGAGGAAAUCCAUGGGGGUUCUCCCCUGUGGUUGACCGAUUUUCAGAGGAAGGACGGGCUAAGUUCGUGCCAGCAGCCGCGGUAACACGAACCGUCCAAACGU